AAUGUUAUCUAGUUUUGAAGGAAUAUACCUUCAUAGUUUGGUGAUGAUGGCAGAGAGGUCACACCCGUUCCCAUACCGAACACGGAAGUUAAGCUCUCUAGCGCCGAUGGUAGUUGGGACCUUGUCCCUGUGAGAGUAGGACGUCGCCAAGC
Molecule: ribosomal RNA, 152 nt
Filed under: Bacillus mycoides
Lineage: Bacteria; Bacillati; Bacillota; Bacilli; Caryophanales; Bacillaceae
Source: RNAcentral